Molecule: ribosomal RNA, 483 nt
Filed under: uncultured bacterium
Lineage: Bacteria
Description: partial 16S ribosomal RNA
Rfam family: Bacterial small subunit ribosomal RNA
Source: RNAcentral
GACGAACGCUGGCGGCGUGCUUAACACAUGCAAGUCGAACGCUGAAGCUCAGCUUUUGUUGGGUGGAUGAGUGGCGAACGGGUGAGUAACACGUGAGUAACCUGCCCCCUUCUUUGGGAUAACGCCCGGAAACGGGUGCUAAUACUGGAUAUUCACUGGUCUUCGCAUGGGGGUUGGUGGAAAGAGUUUUUCUGGUGGGGGAUGGGCUCGCGGCCUAUCAGCUUGUUGGUGGGGUGAUGGCCUACCAAGGCUUUGACGGGUAGCCGGCCUGAGAGGGUGACCGGUCACAUUGGGACUGAGAUACGGCCCAGACUCCUACGGGAGGCAGCAGUGGGGAAUAUUGCACAAUGGGCGCAAGCCUGAUGCAGCGACGCCGCGUGAGGGAUGGAGGCCUUCGGGUUGUGAACCUCUUUCGCUCAUGGUCAAGCCGCAACAAUGGUUGUGGUGAGGGUAGUGGGUAAAGAAGCGCCGGCUAACUACGUG